CGCUUUCCGCCGGCGACGACGGUCGCGGACACGGAGUGAGCGUGUGCGCGCGAGUGUUUGUGGUUGUCCCCCCUCCCCCCGCCCGGUACUUUUUCCGGAGGCUGCUGGCAAUGGCCUACGUCGUCAUACCGGGCUUCCUUGCCCUGUCCGGGGUAAACAAUCCUUCUGUGUAUUUACCCCCUUUUUUCUUUAAAGAUUGGA
Molecule: long non-coding RNA, 201 nt
Filed under: Homo sapiens (human)
Lineage: Eukaryota; Metazoa; Chordata; Mammalia; Primates; Hominidae
Description: HSALNT0169571
Source: RNAcentral